This 1989-nucleotide long non-coding RNA is filed under the name Homo sapiens (human). RNAcentral describes it as "HSALNT0232790". The record is from RNAcentral. Lineage: Eukaryota; Metazoa; Chordata; Mammalia; Primates; Hominidae.
GCCGUACCUGCUGAGAGUUCAGACAAGUCUAGCAUGCCCAGAGAGCUGGUCGGUGGGAGGGUGGGAUAGAAAGAACUUGGGGACUGGACAUUGGCUUGACAUUUAAAGGCUGGUCAUUGAUCCUAAAGCAGGUGUGAGCAGAGUCACACCAGCUUGAUGUAGGGAUAGCAGAGGCCAGAGGGCUUACUGGGCACACAUGAGCAGAUUGACUGCCUGCCUCUCUGACCCUUGGACCAUUACCAACCGUCAGGGCUAGGAAGUGGGGCUAGGAUGUAAGCAGGUCACCUGGGGCUUUGUAGCUGCCUGUAGGGCGUUCUCACAGGGGGUGGAAGAGGACACCUGCUUGGAUUUGCCCUCUGCCCUUGGGACCCAGAAGCCGUCAUGGGUGAGUUGGGAUUCCAUCCUUUGCUGCCCUCAGACUGACACCUGGGUCCAUCAGCCCUGGGGCUGAGGCUGGCACUGUUGCUCUGGUCAGGAGAGUAAUGGGCUCUUUGUAGCAUUGUCACGAUGAGCACAGCCUCUCUGGGGUCUUCUUCUCAUGAACCCCAGAUUGUCCCCAAGUCAGUCCUGCUGGGGAGUGUGUGUUUGGGCUGGGGGGUAUUCCUGCCUUAGGGUGUUCCCUGAUCCCAGUGUACACUGGACAUUGGUAUGGCUGGAUGCCUGUCUUUGCCCAGUAGCCUGGCACACCUUCAAGGAGGCCUGAGAUCACAUGUGUCCAAAGCAGCCAGGGGUCAUGUAUUGGGGUUGGACCACAGUCAUAUCAGAAAUAUGAUAGCAUCAUUCAGAGGGAUCCUCAUAGGGAACUGUAGAUUCUGUUUGGUUUUUGUGACUGAUUGGUUUUUGCUAUGUUAAGAUCGCAACUACAGACUUUAAUUUUCUUGCCAGAUAUGACUAUAUAUAAUACUGUUUUGAUACCAGUUAAAAUAAAAUCCAUUACAAAAACAACAUAGAGUAUACGUUCUUAAGCAUCAUCUGAUCUAGACAGCCUUUCAAUGCCUAAGUUACUUUGUGUCAGGCAGUGCUCCGACAUUUUACAUGCUUUCUAUUAUUUAAUCUUAACCACAACACUAUGAACUAGGUACUAUUAUGUAAGAAUUCCCCAUUUUACAGCCAAGGAAAUGGAUGCCCAGAGGGUUACAGGACUAGCCCAAGGUCACAUAGCCAUGAAAUGUCUGUUUACCCACCCCCAGAGACUGAGAACUGCCCUUCCAUCAGCCCAUUCCACUGGGGGGGAGGCUCUAGUUUUUGAAAUGCGUUUCCUCACAUGGAACUAAACUUUGCUUCUCCCUGUCAAUCCCACUCCUGUUUCUGCUUAUCCUAGUAGCCCAUCAUGGUGGCUCCUGGUCUCCCAUUCUUCUGGCUCAGUUCUCUACCCCAUUUGUUCCUGGGGGCACUUCAAGUUCUUCCUCUAGGAAUCUCUGAACCAUUUUGUAUCAGCUAAGUCCUUGGAAGAAUCACUGCAGGUAGCUCUCCAAUUCUUUGUUUACUUUGACUCCAAAGGUUCUGGUAUCCAGUUUGUCUUACUCAAUUUUCUUAGAGACUGCAGGGGGAAUAUGGCCCACUUCUGUGUCCUGGGGGCAUGAAAGAAACGACUCAUGUCUGUCUUCCUUGUUGAAGGCUCUGGUGGAGCUGAAGCCUCUCUCCCUUCUACUGCCACCCAUGCCUCUUCCUGGAGCUCCCUCAGCCCCCUUUCCCCUGGAUCUCUUGGGCAAUGAGUUUCUUCAUCUGUUGAGUAAGGAGUGGACAGAGGUGGGGGCUGCAUCAUCCUCAUUCCUACAAGUCUCAAAUCUCAUCUUUCUUGCCCAUUUGUGGACCAGAUUCUCCUGGAGGACUCACAGCUCAUUGAAACCUCUUAAGAUCCCUAUCCUCAAAUUUUCAAGCUGUCCAGUUCCCAGGACCCUGUGAGGCCAAAUCUGUGGUCCUGUCUGCAGUUUGCAUGUCCCCUCUGGCCUGGCUUUCCCACGGCCUCUGUCUUGGCCCUUUUCUGGC